Molecule: ribosomal RNA, 253 nt
Filed under: uncultured bacterium
Lineage: Bacteria
Description: partial 16S ribosomal RNA
Rfam family: Bacterial small subunit ribosomal RNA
Source: RNAcentral
UACGGAGGAUCCAAGCGUUAUCCGGAUUUAUUGGGUUUAAAGGGUGCGUAGGCGGUUUUAUAAGUUAGAGGUGAAAUCUCGGGGCUUAACCCCGGGGCUGCUUCUGAUACUGCUGUGCUCGAGUGCAGGAGAGGUAAGUGGAAUUCCUAGUGUAGCGGUGAAAUGCGUAGAUAUUAGGAGGAACACCAGUGGCGAAGGCGGUCUGCUGGACAGCAACUGACGCUGAGGCGCGAAAGCGUGGGGAGCAAAAAGG